This 490-nucleotide ribosomal RNA is filed under the name uncultured bacterium. Its description in RNAcentral is "partial 16S ribosomal RNA". It matches the Rfam family "Bacterial small subunit ribosomal RNA", at positions 30 to 507 of the family's 1533-position model. The record is from RNAcentral.
AUUGAACGCUGGCGGCAGGCCUAACACAUGCAAGUCGAACGGUAACAGGAAGCAGCUUGCUGCUUUGCUGACGAGUGGCGGACGGGUGAGUAAUGUCUGGGAAACUGCUUGAUGGAGGGGGAUAACUACUGGAAACGGUAGCUAAUACCGCAUAACGUCGCAAGACCAAAGAGGGGGACCUUCGGGCCUCUUGCCAUCGGAUGUGCCCAGAUGGGAUUAGCUAGUAGGUGGGGUAACGGCUCACCUAGGCGACGAUCCCUAGCUGGUCUGAGAGGAUGACCGGCCACACUGGAACUGAGACACGGUCCAGACUCCUACGGGAGGCAGCAGUGGGGAAUAUUGCACAAUGGGCGCAAGCCUGAUGCAGCCAUGCCGCGUGUAUGAAGAAGGCCUUCGGGUUGUAAAGUACUUUCAGCGGGGAGGAAGGGAGUAAAGUUAAUACCUUUGCUCAUUGACGUUACCCGCAGAAGAAGCACCGGCUAACUCCGUG